AUGAAGAGCGGCGCCAGGGUGAUCAAGGGGAGGGUGGCGAUGGUAUACUCCAAGUACGCCGGCAAGGCCCAGGCCAAGGCGCCAAGCCUGCCCCGAGCGUCAGUACCGCAUACCCCUACCAGCCCAGUUUGA
Molecule: ribosomal RNA, 132 nt
Filed under: Triticum aestivum (bread wheat)
Lineage: Eukaryota; Viridiplantae; Streptophyta; Magnoliopsida; Poales; Poaceae
Description: partial small subunit ribosomal RNA
Source: RNAcentral